This 909-nucleotide ribosomal RNA is filed under the name uncultured bacterium. RNAcentral describes it as "bacterial SSU rRNA". It matches the Rfam family "Bacterial small subunit ribosomal RNA", at positions 1 to 900 of the family's 1533-position model. The record is from RNAcentral.
CGCCCUUAGAGUUUGAUCCUGGCUCAGGAUGAACGCUAGCUACAGGCUUAACACAUGCAAGUCGAGGGGAAACGAUAUUGGAAGCUUGCUUCCGAUAGGCGUCGACCGGCGCACGGGUGAGUAACGCGUAUCCAACCUGCCCACCACUUGGGGAUAACCUUGCGAAAGUAAGACUAAUACCCAAUGAUAUCUCAAGAAGACAUCUGAAUGAGAUUAAAGAUUUAUCGGUGAUGGAUGGGGAUGCGUCUGAUUAGCUUGUUGGCGGGGUAACGGCCCACCAAGGCGACGAUCAGUAGGGGUUCUGAGAGGAAGGUCCCCCACAUUGGAACUGAGACACGGUCCAAACUCCUACGGGAGGCAGCAGUGAGGAAUAUUGGUCAAUGGGCGAGAGCCUGAACCAGCCAAGUAGCGUGCAGGAUGACGGCCCUAUGGGUUGUAAACUGCUUUUAUAAGGGAAUAAAGUGAGUCUCGUGAGGCUUUUUGCAUGUACCUUAUGAAUAAGGACCGGCUAAUUCCGUGCCAGCAGCCGCGGUAAUACGGAAGGUCCGGGCGUUAUCCGGAUUUAUUGGGUUUAAAGGGAGCGUAGGCCGGAGAUUAAGCGUGUUGUGAAAUGUAGAUGCUCAACAUCUGCACUGCAGCGCGAACUGGUUUCCUUGAGUACGCACAAAGUGGGCGGAAUUCGUGGUGUAGCGGUGAAAUGCUUAGAUAUCACGAAGAACUCCGAUUGCGAAGGCAGCUCACUGGAGCGCAACUGACGCUGAAGCUCGAAAGUGCGGGUAUCGAACAGGAUUAGAUACCCUGGUAGUCCGCACGGUAAACGAUGGAUGCCCGCUGUUGGUCUGAAUAGGUCAGCGGCCAAGCGAAAGCAUUAAGCAUCCCACCUGGGGAGUACGCCGGCAACGGUGAAAC